Molecule: ribosomal RNA, 680 nt
Filed under: uncultured bacterium
Lineage: Bacteria
Description: bacterial SSU rRNA
Rfam family: Bacterial small subunit ribosomal RNA
Source: RNAcentral
AGAGUUUGAUCCUGGCUCAGAUUGAACGCUGGCGGCAGGCCUAACACAUGCAAGUCGAACGGUAACAGAAAGCAGCUUGCUGCUUUGCUGACGAGUGGCGGACGGGUGAGUAAUGUCUGGGAAACUGCCUGAUGGAGGGGGAUAACUACUGGAAACGGUAGCUAAUACCGCAUAACGUCGCAAGACCAAAGAGGGGGACCUUCGGGCCUCUUGCCAUCGGAUGUGCCCAGAUGGGAUUAGCUAGUAGGUGGGGUAAAGGCUCACCUAGGCGACGAUCCCUAGCUGGUCUGAGAGGAUGACCAGCCACACUGGAACUGAGACACGGUCCAGACUCCUACGGGAGGCAGCAGUGGGGAAUAUUGCACAAUGGGCGCAAGCCUGAUGCAGCCAUGCCGCGUGUAUGAAGAAGGCCUUCGGGUUGUAAAGUACUUUCAGCGGGGAGGAAGGGAGUAAAGUUAAUACCUUUGCUCAUUGACGUUACCCGCAGAAGAAGCACCGGCUAACUCCGUGCCAGCAGCCGCGGUAAUACGGAGGGUGCAAGCGUUAAUCGGAAUUACUGGGCGUAAAGCGCACGCAGGCGGUUUGUUAAGUUGAGAUGUGAAAAUCCCCGGGCUCAACCUGGGAACUGCAUCUGAUACUGGGAAAGCUUGAGUCUCGUAGAGGGGGGCUAGAAAUCCCAG